UACGGGGGGGGCAAGCGUUGUUCGGAAUUACUGGGCGUAAAGGGCUCGUAGGCGGCCAACUAAGUCAGACGUGAAAUCCCUCGGCUUAACCGGGGAACUGCAUCUGAUACUGGAUGGCUUGAGUUCGGGAGAGGGAUGCGGAAUUCCAGGUGUAGCGGUGAAAUGCGUAGAUAUCUGGAGGAACAUCAGUGGCGAAGGCGGCUGCCUGGCCCAAUACUGACACUCAGGUGCGACAGCGUGGGGAGCAAACAGG
RNAcentral lists this ribosomal RNA (253 nucleotides) under uncultured bacterium. Its description in RNAcentral is "partial 16S ribosomal RNA". It matches the Rfam family "Bacterial small subunit ribosomal RNA", at positions 524 to 776 of the family's 1533-position model. The record is from RNAcentral.